GGUAAUUUUCCGCAAUGGGCGAAAGCCUGACGGAGCAAUACCGCGUGAGGGACGAAGGCUUUUGGGUCGUAAACCUCUUUUCCCUGAGAAGAAGAUCUGACGGUAUCAGGGGAAUAAGCAUCGGCUAACUUCGUGCCAGCAGCCGCGGUAAUACGAGGGAUGCAAGCGUUAUCCGGAAUUAUUGGGCGUAAAGCGUCCGCAGGUGGCUCUGUAAGUCUGUCGUUAAAGAAUGGGGCUUAACCCCAUACAGGCGAUGGAAACUACAAGGCUAGAGUUUGGUAGGGGUCACGGGAAUUCCUAGUGUAGCGGUGAAAUGCGUAGAUAUUAGGAAGAACACCAGCGGCGAAAGCGCGUGACUGGGCCAGUACUGACACUCAUGGACGAAAGCUAGGGGAGCGAAAGGGAUUAGAUACCCCUGUAGUCCUAGCCGUAAACGAUGAUAACUAGGUGUUGCCCGUAUCGACCCGGGCAGUGCCGUAGCCAACGCGUUAAGUUAUCCG
RNAcentral lists this ribosomal RNA (500 nucleotides) under uncultured cyanobacterium. RNAcentral describes it as "bacterial SSU rRNA". It matches the Rfam family "Bacterial small subunit ribosomal RNA", at positions 357 to 871 of the family's 1533-position model. The record is from RNAcentral. Lineage: Bacteria; Bacillati; Cyanobacteriota.